Molecule: ribosomal RNA, 206 nt
Filed under: uncultured bacterium
Lineage: Bacteria
Description: partial 16S ribosomal RNA
Rfam family: Bacterial small subunit ribosomal RNA
Source: RNAcentral
UGCGUAGGUGGUUGUUUAAGUCUGUCGUGAAAGCCCUGGGCUCAACCUGGGAAUUGCGAUGGAUACUGGGCGACUAGAGUGUGGUAGAGGAUAGUGGAAUUUCCGGUGUAGCAGUGAAAUGCGUAGAGAUCGGAAGGAACAUCUGUGGCGAAGGCGACUAUCUGGGCCAACACUGACACUGAGGCACGAAAGCGUGGAAGCAAACA